Molecule: long non-coding RNA, 1029 nt
Filed under: Helianthus annuus (common sunflower)
Lineage: Eukaryota; Viridiplantae; Streptophyta; Magnoliopsida; Asterales; Asteraceae
Description: sRNA HanXRQr2_Chr16g0757291
Source: RNAcentral
UUAAGGAUGUCUAGUCGUACAGGAAAGGGCAGGGGCGACUCCCCACUCUUCAAAACCCUAGAACUUCACUAAUCUUGCAAAUUGAAGGUCCAAUUCAGUCCAAAAUCGAAAUUUAAGCAUGGAUUAUUAAUCCUCAUCACAAGAGGAUUAAAAGUUUGAUCUCGUCAAGCUAAGUGGGAGCUGGAAAGGAAUGGAUCAAACGGAUCAUGGAUGCGAAGAAUGUUUGCGCGGACGCGAGGGUAAAACGGCUUAUGGAAUUUACGUGGCUAUGAAUCAGCAAAUUAUUAAGGCAAGGUAUUAAAACGGGUCAAUACUUUGACCCGCGCCAGGUUCAUUUUGGAUGCCGAGAGACGAUCAAGCUCAUCGAAGAACCGAACACGAUAUAGUUACAUGCUUCCGCACUUUGCCACGUUGUAUAUUUUAAACAACGAAUUCGAUCACGUUUUGUAGAAUAACUUAUGAAUUGUAAAAGUUUUAAUUUACUCGAAAUUUUCUAAGGAUACUUAACCUUAAAUACAUGUUUGUUUUCGUAAAUUAUACGAAAACCUUUAAAAUAAUAACUAGGGUGUUACAAUGUGUCGGGCCGAUCUUCUACUCGGUGUUGCACACACAAUAGGCCAACAUGUAUUGAUCGCAUCACUUCACAAGCAAAAUAGGAUGUACCCAAACAUUCAUCAAUUAGAUCGACAUACUUGCCUUCACUGUAAAGUCUCCAUGCCUAUAUAAAACACAAAUGUCAGAUCAUAUCAGUAGCUACACCUUCAUUAUUCAUUACACCAAAGUUCAUAUUACAAAUGGGUGGGUGUUUGUAGAGCUUCACUAGCCAUAUAUAUAGUACUCAUACUUCUCAUAUGUAGUUAGGGGACCCGGAGUGGAAACACUUUUCCCCGUGAUGGAAAUUGUUCAUGCGUGAUGGGGAGAAUAAUGUUGGUAAUCAAGCCCCUUUAUUCGAAUGUGGAUCUGGAUUUUAGUGUUGUUUUGGUGAACAAAAAAUACACAGAGAGAUGUUAACGAAUUUGUUGAAGGAAG